UACGAAGGGUGCAAACGUUGCUCGGAAUUAUUGGGCGUAAAGCGCACGUAGGCGGCUUGGCAAGUCGGAUGUGAAAUCCCUCGGCUCAACCAAGGAAGUGCAUCCGAAACUGCUGAGCUUGAGUACUUAAGAGGAUCGCGGAAUUCCCGGUGUAGCGGUGAAAUGCAUAGAUAGCAUCCAGAACACCGAUUGCGUAGGCAGCUUACUAGGCUGUAACUGACGCUGAGGCACGAAAGCGUGGGGAGCGAACAGG
RNAcentral lists this ribosomal RNA (253 nucleotides) under uncultured bacterium. Its description in RNAcentral is "partial 16S ribosomal RNA". It matches the Rfam family "Bacterial small subunit ribosomal RNA", at positions 524 to 776 of the family's 1533-position model. The record is from RNAcentral.